RNA transcript from Poecilia latipinna (sailfin molly), 2890 nucleotides. It is a transcript of the gene named solute carrier family 35 member 2, with no coding region annotated. Lineage: Eukaryota; Metazoa; Chordata; Actinopteri; Cyprinodontiformes; Poeciliidae. The record is from RefSeq and is a predicted model, not a curated record. The transcript is spliced from 7 exons.
UCUCCGCCUCCUACAGAGUGAAACAUCCUGUCACUCAGUCUACUCUCCGCAGCUGUAGUCCGAGUGACUUCCGGGACAGAUCAGCUCCUCCACGCAGCCCUGGUUCUCCGCCUGAUGCUCCCCCAUACUCCGUCUGCUAGUCCUCCUCGGUCCCGCUCCUCAGCUCCGGUCAUUUCGAGCCGACUCGCCCGCCUCUGCCUCCCGCUUCCAGAACCAGAACCAGAACCAGCCGGAGACUCGGAGCGCCGACUGGUCCCCAACCGACAGCGGAGCCUAGCCGGGAGGCUAGCGGAGUUAGCUGUGCAGGCAGCGGGUGAGAGUUCGGUCCCGACGAGGGAGAGAGCGCAGCAUGUCGGGUGGCAGCAGCAGUAAGGCCGGGGAGGUUCCGACCCGGAGUCAGAGUGAAGCCAACAGAAAGUUGAAGUACAUCAGCCUGGCUGUCCUGGUGGUCCAGAAUGCCUCGCUCAUCCUCAGCAUCCGCUACGUCCGCACGUUGCCGGGCGACCGCUUCUUCACCACAUCAGCCGUCGUUAUGGCGGAGGUCCUGAAGGUGGCGACGUGCCUGCUCAUCGUUUUGCUGCAGAAGAGAUGCGCCCUGAAGGAGACGCUGUGGUUCCUGCUGGACUCUGUCAUCCUGCAGUACCAGGACACGCUGAAGCUCGCCGUGCCGUCGCUCAUCUAUACGCUACAGAACAACCUGCAGUACGUCGCCAUCUCCAACCUGCCGGCCGCCACCUUCCAGGUGACCUACCAGCUGAAGAUCCUCACCACAGCGCUCUUCAGCGUCUUGAUGCUCAGGAAGUCUCUGUCCAGAGUCCAGUGGGUUUCCCUGCUGCUGCUCUUCGCCGGCGUCGCCAUCGUCCAGGUGCAGCAGGAGGGAAAGAAGGAGGCGGCGGUGGCUGACGCCUCCAACCAGAACUAUAUGGUGGGUCUGGUUGCCGUGGUGAUCAGCUGCCUGUCGUCUGGCUUCGCCGGCGUUUACUUUGAGCGGAUCUUGAAGGGCAGCUCUGCGUCGGUGUGGAUGAGGAACGUGCAGCUGGGCAUCUUCGGCACGGCGCUUGGACUGCUGGGAAUGUGGUGGAACGACGGCGCCGCCGUGGCCGAGCGCGGCUUCCUGUUCGGCUACACCGGCAUGGUGUGGUGCGUCAUCUUCAACCAGGCGUUCGGUGGGCUGCUGGUGGCCGUGGUGGUGAAGUACGCCGACAACAUCCUGAAGGGCUUCGCCACUUCCUUCUCCAUCAUCGUUUCCACGGUGAUGUCCGUCUACCUGUUUGGCUUCCACGUGGACUUGCUGUUCACCGCGGGGGCGGGGCUCGUCAUCGGCGCCGUCUACAUGUACAGCCUCCCCAAGGCGCCCGGCGGCCUCCCAUGCCCCGAACCCUCCUCUUCCUCUGCAUCCGUUGAGCCGCCGAGGGCGGGCAGAGGCGGCGAGAUGGAGGCGUUUCUGCCAAAUUUGGAAUUGGGACAAAAAUCAGCCUGAAUCGAUGUCUAACUAAAGCUGAAACGCCUCCAGGUGCGAAUACCUGGCUAAAGGGUUAGCUCAUUAGUAGAGCUAAUGCUAACGAACUACAGGUGAGGCAGUUUAAGCCUCAGCAGAGCGAAACGUUUAGCCUGUUGCUUCCCAGCCGGGUCAAAGGUCAGGAUCAGACUAACGCUCCAAUAAAUCACCAGAGAUAAACAUCUUGUUUAGAAUUAACACAUUUCUUACUAAUGUUUCGACAUUAAUAUAUUUCACUAUAUUUUUAUAUUCUAAUUAUUUUAAAAAUACACCAAAUCUAAUUAAAAGGAUGUAGAAAAGCUACUUGUGAAUCCAUGACUGGAAAACCAUCAGAAAGUUUUUACUUCCUGGUUCCCUUCAGGUGAAACUCGAUUUUCCAGUUUCACUCCAACUAUUAUCACGAAACUACAAAAAUUACAUUUCUAUUGUAUUUCUGUCAACUUCCCUGAGAAAUUCCUCAAAUAUUCCAGUUUGUGACAAAAAUGGAUUUCUGCUGCAGCAGGCGGGAUCCGAACCCAGGUCACGACCUCUCCAGGUCAGUGUGCUGGUCUUACUGGGAGGACUGGUUUUUGACCUGUUUGUGGAUCUCAUUGAUCAGAUCUGAUUAGUUUUCAUCAAUAGUCCUGAAAGUUCGGGCCUGGUUCUGGAGGUGCGGUCCAGGGUCGAACACAGGAAGUUCCUGGUGCUCUGCAGGUUUCAGGGGUUCUAAGAUCCGGAAGCGGCAGGUUUGGACCAGAACCUUCUGGACCGCAGUCGACAAGGACAGAAUAACGGAGAUUCAUUUCAUCUCCAUAAGAAGGAGUCACCUGGAGAUGAUCAUGAAAUUCAGAGUUUCUCAGAGAGAACUUCCUGUUUAAAGGACUUCCUGUUUGUAGAACUUCCUGUCCCAGAAGUCGGUCUUCUCUUCGGAUGAGGCCAUGAAGGAACCGUCUUCUGGCUAUUCUUCUCCUGAUCUCUUUUCUAAUCUUCCUCUUCCUCUAUCCGUCCUGCAGGUGUUCAGGAAAAGAGAAAGGAUCCUGAAAUGGACAGCUACCACUUCCUGUCUACUGAGGUCAUGACCUUUCAAAUUAAGAUGCCAGACAGCAUCACUCCAACAUCUUCUGGACUUGAAAACGGUUCGGUUCUGCUCUCCAGCACCAUAGAAGUCACACCAUAAACCGUUCUUUCAGUUUGUUUUUAGGUGAAACACAUGAAGUCUCAUCAUCUCAUUGUGAUGAAAAGCUGAUGGUUCUGGAUUCAGGGUUUUAUCUGAAGAAGAAAAUAAGGAGAACUUUGUGAAGUGACUUUUUGUGGACCUUCACAAUAAGAGCAGAAACUAAAGAUCAACUUUCUGAUCCUUCAUUUCUUUGCUUCUUCUUGGCUUCGUAUCGUUCAGUUUCGUUCUGUUUUCGG